This 367-nucleotide ribosomal RNA is filed under the name uncultured organism. RNAcentral describes it as "bacterial LSU rRNA". It matches the Rfam family "Bacterial large subunit ribosomal RNA", at positions 2099 to 2465 of the family's 2925-position model. The record is from RNAcentral.
CUUUACUGUAGCUUUGUAUUGGACUUUGAACGGAUCUGUGUAGGAUAGGUGGGAGGCUUUGAAGUGUGGUCGCUAGAUCACAUGGAGCCAACGUUGAAAUACCACCCUGGUGCGUUUGAGGUUCUAACCCAGGUCCCUUAUCGGGAUCGGGGACAGUGCAUGGUAGGCAGUUUGACUGGGGCGGUCUCCUCCCAAAGCGUAACGGAGGAGUUCGAAGGUACGCUAGUUACGGUCGGACAUCGUGACGAUAGUGCAAUGGCAUAAGCGUGCUUAACUGCGAGACUGACAAGUCGAGCAGAUGCGAAAGCAGGACAUAGUGAUCCGGUGGUUCUGUAUGGAAGGGCCAUCGCUCAACGGAUAAAAGGUA